This 1425-nucleotide long non-coding RNA is filed under the name Cottoperca gobio. RNAcentral describes it as "lncRNA (ENSCGOG00000017521.1)". Lineage: Eukaryota; Metazoa; Chordata; Actinopteri; Perciformes; Bovichtidae. The record is from RNAcentral.
AUGAACACACAGGUUGCUGCUCUGAGUGAACUUGCCACAGAACGGACACUUGUGAGGUUUCUCUCCGGUCUGGGUUCGCAGGUCUCUAAGCAGGAACGUCUUGCCCCAUUUGUUGCACUUAAAAGGCUUCUCUCUGUGGCAUGGCUCUCACCCGCGUGUCAUAUGAGGUUAACGUCCUUUAUAAAACGUUGAAGCUGAGGUUCUCCGCAGAAACAGCGGCAGCCUGACAGGAGGUGUACAUGUGCAGCAGCAGUCUGAUGAAGGGGUCUGACAGUAGGCAGUUUCACUUUAAAGUUGUUUCACACAGUUGGAGGGAGCGGCCUCCAGUGAGCUCUAUUUAUUCCUCUUUGAUCUGCAGGAAUAUUUCAUCUUGGCUCUGCUGCGGCUCCAUGUUGGGACUCCACUCCUGCUGAGGAAGGAACAUCUCUUCCUGACACUCCAGGGCCAUCUAUUAAACAUGAAGCAACAGUUUACUGACACAGACUUUGGGUAUUACUGAAGCUCUGGAGUAGAAAUAUGCUGAGUUUGACCUCUCGGUCUCAUUUAUGUCACUCUUCAUUAUCUCACUGUCUGUUCUUAUUGGAAGUCUUACAUGAGGAAAUCCUGUCGGUAAAAUAAAUCUCAAACAACAACUUGAACAUUUCCAGGAGAAAAAUAGUUCCUUUGGUUUGAAACAUUUAAAGUACAUUAGAACAAAAGACUUGGACUGGUUAAAGUCUGAUCUGCCUAUUUUAUUGACAUUUGUCUCAUUUUAAGGAUGCUUUUUGUCUGGUUGUUGCAGCCUGUGAUUCUAGUAUAAAGAUAUUUUUGUUUCAUAUUGUGAAUUUGAUUGCUGAAGAAGGUUAGUGACCUGAACGUUGAAUAUUGAACUUGGAUGUUUUUCCUCUGCACCUGACUACCACAACGUUGCCAGAUGCCACUCUCUCUUCACCGUGUAAUUCUAUAAAUGUCAUAAAACAAAAUACUAUAUAUAUUAAUAAAAAAAAUAUAGUAAUAAAAUAAAAUAUAGUCCAAAAAAAUAGAACCCAAGCUCAAAAGAAACUUUGAAUAUAUAGGCUGCUGGCUAAAUAAAUAAUUAUAAAAGCUACACACCGGUAUACAGAUGCAGAGCAGCUCUCUGGUCUCCUCUUGUUAAAUGCAUCCAUGUUGGUGCAUCACUGCCCCCCCCUACAGGUCAACAUAUUAAACGAACACUUCAAAAGAAAAAGAAUUCCCUUAGCAAUACACACAGCCCACUGGUUUUAUAAGCAACAUCAUUUAAUCUUAAAAUAAAAUAAAUCAUUGUGUUGGUUUACCUUCCAUAUAAAUAUAAAUAAAUAUGCAAAUUGCUAAAAACAAAUAUGUUUAUGCCCGACAAUGUUUUUAAGUAUUGAAUAUAUUGUAGCACUGAAAUAUUGAGUGUGGUCUGAAAUGUACAUGUGUAUA